Molecule: transfer RNA, 67 nt
Filed under: Equus asinus (donkey)
Lineage: Eukaryota; Metazoa; Chordata; Mammalia; Perissodactyla; Equidae
Also listed under: 1 other name
Rfam family: tRNA
About the family: Transfer RNA (tRNA) molecules are approximately 80 nucleotides in length. Their secondary structure includes four short double-helical elements and three loops (D, anti-codon, and T loops).
Source: Rfam by way of RNAcentral
CAUUAAGAAGCUGUAUAGUAUUAACCUUUCAAGUUGAAGACUGGGAGUUUAAAUCUCUCCUUAAUGA